GUAUGUAUACAAAUACAAUAUUGGCAAAAUAUUUUUAAUUUCCAGUAUUGCUUGAAGAUUAACAUGCAAUAUUGUAUAGCAAUACUAUGCCAAUUAAACGUUUUCGAUAUAAUUAAUAAUCAUAGAAUAUUGUUUUAGUAGGUAAUAAUUAUUAAUAAUAUCUUACGGCCUGAUUUAUAAUCAAAGUUAAAGUGUUUAUUUCUUAAAGUGUUAGAGAAAAAUAGAUACAAAAAACCGGUUGCAAAUCUAGUUGCGUACUAUAUUGAAAACUGCUUGUCGGAUAACACGCGAACACGCCUGCGGAACGGGCCAACUUUAGCAAUCGAACUCGGCUACUAUUAUUUAAGGUUAGCGUUGUGUAUUUAUUUGUACCUACCUAAAUAGUAAAUAGUUACAUACUUCGGUGUUUUGUGAUUUUGUGCAAUAAUCUGUAACUCAACAUAACUUCAGAGUGAUGAAGCUUCUAAUGAUGCCUUAUAUGUUAACCGACCUAGAUAUCAGGAAAUAUAUCGGAUUUUCCCUGGCUAGUGCUGGAGAUAGAGAGGGUGGAAAAAAGUCCAGGCCGGAACCGAUAUCAGGACAAAAAUAAGAUGUGCAUGUGAUAAAAAAUGUUUGUUAUUUAAUUAAUAUAUAUGUGGGUAUUGUUCAAUUAA
Long non-coding RNA from Dendroctonus ponderosae (mountain pine beetle), 653 nucleotides. RefSeq lists it as uncharacterized. Lineage: Eukaryota; Metazoa; Arthropoda; Insecta; Coleoptera; Curculionidae. The record is from RefSeq and is a predicted model, not a curated record. The transcript has 3 exons.